Rhodamnia argentea is the source of this 135-nucleotide long non-coding RNA. RefSeq lists it as uncharacterized. Lineage: Eukaryota; Viridiplantae; Streptophyta; Magnoliopsida; Myrtales; Myrtaceae. The transcript is spliced from 3 exons. The record is from RefSeq and is a predicted model, not a curated record.
CAUAUAUAUUUGACCCAGUCGCAGAGCGAAAACAAAUGUUCCAACAUCUUUGGGGCUCGGCGACACACAUGGCACCAGGGGUCAAGGACGAGCUUCCUUUUGACGAGGUUUUCUUUGGAUGUGAGAUUCCAAGAU